This is a long non-coding RNA of Notothenia coriiceps (black rockcod), 378 nucleotides long. RefSeq lists it as uncharacterized. The record is from RefSeq and is a predicted model, not a curated record. The transcript is spliced from 2 exons. NCBI's taxonomy places the organism in Eukaryota, Metazoa, Chordata, Actinopteri, Perciformes, Nototheniidae.
AAACAAAAAGUGAUUUUCUGUCAGUCUGUAGUGUUACCAGUUUAACCAAAGAAUGACUGCCCCGUGUUAAGUUUGUUUAAAUGCUUAUACAAUUGGACAAUAGGAGGAAAUCGACUUGCUCUAAACCACCCCGUCUGAGAACCACUCGUCUUCUACAGCCGGGGCUCGCAGACACUUUCUGCAUCAACGUCAGCACCUCUGAGUCCGCAGGGUUUACUGAAGUCAGUUGGGGUUAACAGAAAUUGUGCACAUUGUUUUUACUUUUUUGCACCUUUUGUUUUCUCUUCGUCCUUUUUUCUCCUUUUUCACAUGUUUGGCUAAUGCAGAUGUUACCUUCAGGACUCUCCUGUCUAAAGUACGUUGCCAAUAACAGUCUCU